Molecule: ribosomal RNA, 253 nt
Filed under: uncultured bacterium
Lineage: Bacteria
Description: partial 16S ribosomal RNA
Rfam family: Bacterial small subunit ribosomal RNA
Source: RNAcentral
UACGAAGGGGGCUAGCGUUGUUCGGAAUCACUGGGCGUAAAGCGCACGUAGGCGGAUUUUUAAGUCAGAGGUGAAAGCCUGGAGCUCAACUCCAGAACUGCCUUUGAUACUGGGAGUCUAGAGUUCGGAAGAGGUUGGUGGAACUGCGAGUGUAGAGGUGAAAUUCGUAGAUAUUCGCAAGAACACCAGUGGCGAAGGCGGCCAACUGGUCCGAUACUGACGCUGAGGUGCGAAAGCGUGGGGAGCAAACAGG